Pavlovales sp. CCMP2436 is the source of this 71-nucleotide non-coding RNA. NCBI's taxonomy places the organism in Eukaryota, Haptophyta, Pavlovophyceae, Pavlovales. The record is from the annotation of a GenBank genome assembly.
GCGUCUGUGGUCUAGUGGUAGAAUUCUCGCCUCCCACGCGGGAGACCCGGGUUCAAUUCCCGGCGGACGCA